ACGUUGAAACGCCGAUUCCCGUACGAUCAGCGAAGUUAAGUAACACCGAGCCUGGUCACUACCUAGUUGGGUGAUCGUUUGGGAAUACCAGGUGCUGUAA
This 100-nucleotide ribosomal RNA is filed under the name Acanthosepion pharaonis. Lineage: Eukaryota; Metazoa; Mollusca; Cephalopoda; Sepiida; Sepiidae. The record is from RNAcentral.